GACGAACGCUGGCGGCGUGCUUAACACAUGCAAGUCGAACGCUCGUAGCAAUACGAGAGUGGCAGACGGGUGAGUAACACGUGGGAACCCUCCCUAUGGUUCGGAAUAGCUCAGGGAAACUUGGGGGUAAUACCGGAUAAGCCCUUCGGGGGAAAGAUUUAUCGCCAUUGGAUGGGCCCGCGUCGGAUUAGCUAGUUGGUGAGGUAACGGCUCACCAAGGCAACGAUCCGUAGCUGGUCUGAGAGGAUGAUCAGCCACACUGGGACUGAGACACGGCCCAGACUCCUACGGGAGGCAGCAGUGGGGAAUCUUGCGCAAUGGGCGAAAGCCUGACGCAGCGACGCCGCGUGA
RNAcentral lists this ribosomal RNA (351 nucleotides) under uncultured bacterium. Its description in RNAcentral is "bacterial SSU rRNA". It matches the Rfam family "Bacterial small subunit ribosomal RNA", at positions 28 to 404 of the family's 1533-position model. The record is from RNAcentral.